This is a long non-coding RNA of Hemiscyllium ocellatum (epaulette shark), 3606 nucleotides long. RefSeq lists it as uncharacterized. The record is from RefSeq and is a predicted model, not a curated record. NCBI's taxonomy places the organism in Eukaryota, Metazoa, Chordata, Chondrichthyes, Orectolobiformes, Hemiscylliidae. The transcript is spliced from 2 exons.
UAUAGGAAAUUUAUGUUUCUUCUGCAAUUCUAAAAUUCAUUAUAUAAAAAAUAACUGAACUCCAUCAGUGUGCAAUUGUUUCAGCCAGGAGCUGAGUCAACAAGAAUGUGAACUCUGUGGAGGAAAUGCUAAUUGGUUUGCUAAGAAUGUAAUAAAUGGUUAACCCUAGUUCGAAGGGCUUCGUGAUAAGAUGCUGUGAAGACAGACAGUUAAACUCAAUAUGCCUGAACAAACAAUAGGUAUAAAACAUCUGUUUCCCACUUUUACACAGGAACAAAACCAUUUAGAAGGGCUUAGUGACAGGAUGCUGGAAAGAGGCAGGAUGAGGGGCAAAUAGCCUGACAUCAGGAAUGAGCAUGUUUUCCACAGAUAAGACUGGAUAAGACAUGAGAUAAGCAGGAGGGUCUCAGGGAAGUGGAGGAUGUGAACAAGGGGGGAAACAAUGAAAUAAGAAAAAAAAAAUAGGAACCAAAUUGUAUAAAUAUCGAGUAUUUGUUGAAUUUGGGGUGUGUUUUGUCCCUGCCUUGUGGACAUCACACCCACUUGCAAGUGUGAAAUAAAGAGCUCUGCUGAUUCAGAUCUUGUCUCGAACUGAAAUUAUUGCAGUGUGUGAGCUUUGUUUCUCACAAUUGGCGCCCAACGUGGGGCAGUCCGGGAAGUUCUUCCAUCGCCGGGGGGGAGUGGCUGGCCCUGGAUACUGGGAAGACGCGUCCCGUUCCCCAUUGAGGAGCGGUCUCGUGUCCCGGUUCGGUCCGCUCCCUUGGGCGACUGGUACGAAUCCCACAAGAGAGACAUCUGCAUCUGACAGUGACAGGCAGUUGAUAGAAUAUACGGCGGAAAAGUGGCCAGGCAACUCUGUGCACAGACCAAGGAAACAGGGUUUAUUGGCACAGACUCUACCCCUAGAAUUCACCGUUCAUCCCAUCCAGCCGGGAGAUUGGGUCUGAGUAAAAUCAUGGACAGAGACUAAAUUGCAGCCGGACUGGGAAGGGCCGUACCAGGCUCUUUUAACGACUAAAAUGGCAAUAAGGACGACGGAGAAAGGCUGGACUCACUACACUCGGAUCAAAGGGCCAGUGGAAUCUCCAGUUGAGGAAGAAGUCUGGACAGCCGAAUCAAUGCAAGACCCGCUAAAACUCAGACUAAAGAGACUUUGAGUAACUGAUUAUACAGUGGCGACGCGAGCGCGGGAUUAUUUCUGUAGGAUUGUAUAUUGAGUCAUUCUGUGCUUCAGUAUGAUGUUUAAAGUACUGGGAAUGCUUAGAGUUAUGAUGCUAGCCCUAUUAGUAUUGGGAUUUUGUCAAAUAUCCUUUUCAUAUGUAUUAUAAAUGGUUCCUGAGUCUGAUAAUCCACAAGUAAUAGACGCUGAUGCAUGCAGCUUAGUCAAUUGUGGGGAUGUAGAUAUUCAGAGACAGUACCACAGUUCAGAGAUACAUCUUAAGUCCUAUGGGGAUGGCCUUGGGGAUGGUACUUGGUGUAAUAGGGAUAGAAAUGAAAGCACAUGGGAAACACUUCGUGGGCUGUUGUUUUCGAACAAGCGUAGGACAGGGAAAACGGGCGGAAUUACUGGAUAAUGAGAUACAACCUUUCACCCCUCCCACUGAUCCUAAAGUAGUAAAAAUUAUAGAGGUAAAGGACUUGAAACAGACUCUCGAAAUAGAAACUGGGUACAGGGAUGCAAAUGCCUGGGUUGAAUGGGUAAAGUAUACUGUAAAAAGUCUGAACAAAAGCAAUUGCUAUGCAUGUACCUCCGGUAGGCCAGUGGCCCAGAUGGUUCCCUUUCCGCUCGGGUGGAAGCGAGACAGGCAGGGCAUGAAAUGUAUGCUAGCCCUGUAUCAGGAUGAGACUGCAUGGAAUGAGAAUGAUACGAAUUGUUCCUCCCUAUCUCUGAUGUUCCCUCCCUUGGAGAAGAAAGAUGUACAAGUUUCCCCCGCAUUUUCUGCCGCAGUUGGAAACCACACUUCGUGUGUGCAUAGACGAGGUACAAGUCGGUAUAGAGAUUUGGGGGAGCUGAAAUUGUGUACAGAGAUUAAAAAUGUUACCAAAACGAAGAAAGGAGGAACUACUCAGCACUAAAGGUUCCCCAAACAGAUCUGUGAUGGUACUGUGGAGGCAAAAUAUUGAGACCCAUCUUACCUCCGGAUUGGAGAGGGAUAUGUGCAAUUGUACAAUUGGCAAUUCCAUUUACCCUGGCAUUUGAGAAGGAAAAGAUAGUAGGGAAACAGGGAAGAGAUAAGAGAUCACUGUUAGACACUUCUUUCGAUGACAGGAUUUAUCUUGAUUCGAUAGGAGUCCCGAGGGGGGGUACCUGAUGAGUUCAAGGCUCGUAACCAGAUUGCGGCAGGCUUUGUGUCAGCUCUCAUUUGGUGGGUAACAAUUAAUAAAAAUGUAGAUUGGCUAAAUUACAUUUUCUAUAAUCAACAGCGAUUUAUAAAUUAUACAAGAGAUGCAGUUAAAGAAAUAUCAGAUCAGCUUGAUGCGACAAGUAGGAUGGCAUGGGAGAACAGAAUGGCCCUUGAUAUGAUUCUAGCAGAACAAAGGGGGUGUGUGUGUGAUGUUAGGAGGAAGCUGUUGUACCUUUAUUCCUAACAACACUGCACCUGAUGGUUCAAUUACUCGAGCCUUAAGGGGGUUAACAACCUUAGCAGAGGAACUGGCUGAGAAUUCAGGAGUAGACACAUCUCUCACGGGAUGGCUUGAAUCCUGGUUCGGAAGAUGGAAGGGGGUGGUAGUUUCCAUCCUUACUUCCCUGAUAGUAGUAGUCGGGGUAUUGGUGGCCAUUGGCUGUUGUAUCAUACCCUGUAUACAUGGGCUCACCCAGAGACUGAUUGAGACAACCUUAAUGAAACAGAUGCCCUUAAAAGGAAAUCUGACAAAAGAACUUUAUCAACUAAAUAUUGAGGAGAUGAGUGAGACCAAAAUGGAAGAAAUUUCCUAAAUGAUGCUUGCGAAUUUCGGGAGCAAUGCUUAAAAGAACAAAAUGCAGAAGGUAACAAAUGGUAAAGAAAGAAAAAGGGGCAAUUGUGGGAUAUAGGAAAUUUAUGUUUCUUCUGCAAUUCUAAAAUUCAUUAUAUAAAAAAUAACUGAACUCCAUCAGUGUGCAAUUGUUUCAGCCAGGAGCUGAGUCAACAAGAAUGUGAACUCUGUGGAGGAAAUGCUAAUUGGUUUGCUAAGAAUGUAAUAAAUGGUUAACCCUAGUUCGAAGGGCUUCGUGAUAAGAUGCUGUGAAGACAGACAGUUAAACUCAAUAUGCCUGAACAAACAAUAGGUAUAAAACAUCUGUUUCCCACUUUUACACAGGAACAAAACCAUUUAGAAGGGCUUAGUGACAGGAUGCUGUAAAGAGGCAGGAUGAGGGGCAAAUAGCCUGACAUCAGGAAUGAGCAUGUUUUCCACAGAUAAGACUGGAUAAGACAUGAGAUAAGCAGGAGCGUCUCAGGGAAGUGGAGGAUGUGAACAAGGGGGGAAACAAUGAAAUAAGAAAAAAAAUAUAGGAACCAAAUUGUAUAAAUAUCGAGUAUUUGUUGAAUUUGGGGUGUGUUUUGUCCCUGCCUUGUGGACAUCACACCCACUUGCAAGUGUGAAAUAAAGAGCUCUGCUGAUUCA